Pteropus alecto (black flying fox) is the source of this 4770-nucleotide long non-coding RNA. RefSeq lists it as uncharacterized. The record is from RefSeq and is a predicted model, not a curated record. The transcript has 2 exons. NCBI's taxonomy places the organism in Eukaryota, Metazoa, Chordata, Mammalia, Chiroptera, Pteropodidae.
UGUUGGCUCUGGUGGGUGGCUGGAUGCAAACGAGGCAUUUUAACAUUAUGGUUCAGUUCAUCUGUCCGGUCAAGAUCUGUCCCACUAACACUGUGCAACUGUGUGUAAAUUUUCUGGGAUGAAACCAGUUUUAUAAAGAAAGCUGGAGACCACUCUGAAAUGCGUAAGUCUUGAGGUAGCUUGGAUUGCCAGCCCUGCAGAUAGUGCCAGAUCUCCAGACUAGAGAGGCGAGAGGCGUGGCUGAGUACAGCAACCCACCUGGGCUCUGUAGCCAGGUGGGCUUUGUGGGGUCACUGCCCCUACAGGUGGGUUAGAUAUGGGAAUGUUUUUAGAAUUGAGAAGCCAUAAGGGCUGCCUUGUGUAUUCUGGAUUCUCAGUCAUCUAAAUACAAGGAAGGGCCAGAGAGGGUGAGACAGUGAGGCCUCUGCCAGCUGCUGGGGAUACCGAGCCUAAUCCUGUGUUUUCAGAAUUGAAUAAACGGUGAAGAGUGGUCUUUUUUAAAACAACAUAGCCAGUUCUUAUACUUCCCACUCUUGGAUAAACCAUGCAGAAUGGUCUUUUCUGAAACAACAUAGCCAAUUCUUAUUGGAUAAACCAUGCAGAAUGAUCUUUUCUGAAACAACAUAGCCAAUUCUUAUAGUUCCAUCCUACUAGCAGCCAAGAGUAAUGAGCAGCGUUUCCUGUCACACUCCCUGACCCAGUCACGGUGAUGGUUAAGACACCCCCUCUUGUCUGGCUAGCUUGCUGUACUGUGAACUGGGCAUUCGUACAGGUGUGUCUUUUGAGGAAACAGUCUUUAGUAACAGACUUCCCUCUCCCUGCAAAUAGAAAGACUAAUUCCAUUAUUCUAGGCCUGAGGAAUAGGAACCACGUUUUGUGAUUAAAAACUGAUUUAAAACCAGGUGAGGCCUUCAAGGCGACCUGGUGGAAUUUAGGAAAAUUACACCCAGUUAGAACCUAAAAUAGUAGUGCAUUUGAAAAUACAAAACGAGAUGUUCCAAAUGUGAACUGUUCCUGUGAUGGAUAGAUCUGUUUGAAACCACUGAAAUACACCCAUGAAAGGCUGUGGACGAUACAGAGAAGAAAAUAUUUAACCAAGAAAGUUUUGGCACCAGCACAUAGGAGAGAAAAAAACCUUAAUAGACAGCCAGGUUCUCAACUGCUGCAUUCAGUCUGUUGGAAUAUGUUGUUUUGGUUGAAGUGUUGGAAGAAACUGUCUUCACAAAGAUAGGUCGCUGGAAAGAGAAGUAUUUUAAUAGCCCUUCAGGUGCUUGUGGAUAUUCUUCUUUGAUACUUCAUCAGAACUCAACAAGUGGUAGUCUACUAAAGCUUAGUUAAUUGCAAUAUGGAAUGUGCAAACUUAUCGAUGAACUUAUAUGCUCUGCUUCAUUAAAAUCCAUGGUCUCUCUUGCACUUUGAAUGACUUUUACCCAUACAUGAUACUACGUCAUCAGACACUAGUGAUUUGGAAAAUGUUGGUUCACUGAGUUAUGUACACCUCCUCAAUGUUGACACAUUUUAUUCUUUAACAUCAAAAAAAAAUCGUGUUUGUCAGUGACAUUAUUGAUCUUCUCAGAUAAGCCAUUAAGUAUUGGGGAGCCGUCAUGCUUUCAGUGGGGAGUACUCAUUUUCCCAGAUUCUAAUUUUAUCAUUGCCAAUCAAUACUAUCAGAGUUUUCCUUGAAAUGACAGGUUUUGUUUUUGAAAAAAUGUCUACCAGAUAUCCAAGUCAAAAUAACCAUAGUUUGUCAGUCAUUCUUUCUAGUCAAAAUGGUGUUCCAUGAAGAAAGCAGCUAAUUGAGCUCAGAACUCAAACAGGCCCGUAUGUGCUUUCCCUUGAGGUAACCAGCUUUAUGCAUCCCUCUCCUUCAUCAUAUAAAAUGCUAAAAACAAGUUGUACUCUGGGAUCAAGGACAUUCGUAAGUGAAAUUGUCUGUUUUUUUUUUUUUUUUAACUGAGCGUAUGACUCCUGUUAAAAUGUGGUGCCGCUGCCUUGAUCGAUUCUAAAGGGCCAACAAUUGACCCACCAUCGCUCCUCUAGAUGUCAACACAGUGAAGAAGGCAAAUCUGAGUAUUAUGAAAAUAAUUUUGACCUUGCAGACCCCCAAGCGUCCACAGAUCAACUUUCAGAACCCUCGUUCUUCAAAUUAAAGCUCGCGGGCUGGUAAUAUUAAGUAACUGUUCACUGCUUUCACUCCUCUACACGUGUCUGUUAAGCUGUUAGCCUUAGGGGAUCUUGAGCUCAUCAAGGCGGGAGGGCAUCCAGAGUGAGAGACACCCCUGCCCCGGUGAUGGAGGAGAGUGAAAGAUGGAGUCAGAGACCUGGGUUUGAAUUCCAGCUGUCCUCGGGGAAGUCCCUUCACCUCAGCGUUUCUCAUCUGGAAAAUAGGCAUCAUAAAAUCUGCCUCGUUUAUUUCAUGAGGAUUCACCAAGUAAAAUGUAAAUGAAUACUUAGCCUAACAGUGUCUGGCACGUCUGUGUUCAGUAGCAUUAGGUACAGUGACCAGUACCACCUGUGCUCACUUCCAGGCUGGUCACACAUGCCAUCAGCCUAUUUUGGAAUAUUGAAUUCUGCAUUUAAACUGGAGUGCACUCAGAGAGAGAAAUCUUAAAGACAAGGAAACUUAAAACCACGUCAUGUGGGGGAAGUUAAGGAAAUGGGAGAGAGAAGGCUGAGGAGGAGCUGAGAGUUGUCUGCUCUUUGAGGGUCUGGUAAAGGAAGGGAGGUGGCAGCCAGGGAAGCCACACGUGAGCAACAGAAGGCGUUUGCCUUCAUCUGACGAUGAACUUUCUGUCAUCUGGCCAAAAGUGGGUCGAGCUACUUCAGGAGGUAGUGAGCUCGCUGUUAGACCUCUUUCAGACAAGUUUUAGGAAACCAUUUGUCAAGAAUGUCCUAGAAGGAAUUUGUGGGUUGCAAUUGGACUAAACCCCCAAAGAGUUUCCUGGGACAAGACUUGGGCAUUAUGGAUGACCAGAGUUGAGUAUUCUUUAACUUCAUUAUCUGUCAGCUUUAGAAAGUACAAGUGCAGAGUACAAAAACUUUGAGAAUUACCUUAAUUUUUAUCACUCUGAUGUUUGGGGUUACCAGUGAGUGCUCGAGUAAGAAAUGAUAACUCCAGACCCACCUCUGGGGAGCCUUUGGUCCUGAUCCAUCAGCCUGGGGUGGCUUAGGCAUUGCUGAGAUUGCCCUGAACUCAGGAGAGGAGGCUGGAUGGGGUGGCUGAGCAGCCCACAGAAAACAAGGCUUUGGCUCCUCUGUUCCAUCGUGUCCGUUUCUCGAACUUCAGUUUUCUGGUCUUAACCUCUUCAGUAAGCAGCCUGCCUCAGAUGCUCUGAUUACUCAACAGAACGGGCACUGCUGUCAUAGAGAAAGUCAAGACAAGUAGUGGCAGUGGAAAGUGGCAGUCCUUGGUCCAGCUCCUCACUGCAGGGACGGGGUGCCUGGUGGCUCAAGUGUUUCCUCUUCCUGUUCACCCUUGGCACAUGAGCUUCCCUUGUCACCACUCUCCUUUGUCCAUGUUUUACCUCGGUUGCCCUGGAACGUUUUCCUUGUUUAUUUUUUUCCCCAUUCCCACAGUUCCUGUGGAUGAAGGUAUUUCCACUCGCUUACUGUCCCUGACACACCCUUCCUUUGAAAACAAACAUGGGCAUUGAUGACCUGGCUCGAGAAAGCUGGAGCAGCCCGUUGCCAGCAAACUGGGAGGGCUGGCCUCCCCCGGGGUGCUGUGGUCCAGGCUUUGACCCCGGGAAAGAAUCCUCCUGGCCCAAGGAGCAAACAUCUGGCAAAACAAAACAGUGUCCCUGGGUCAAGGAGGUGGCGUCGGGUGGGGAAAAAAAUCAUUUCAGCAUUUUUUAAAAGGCGUAUUUAACCCCAGUUAAAAGAAAACAUUUAAAAAGUUCUUUGGGCCCAAAAAUAAUGCAGAAAUGUGGGGUUCACAGCAUGGAGCUGGUCUGGCAGACCUGGAGUCAGAAGGCCUGGGCUGAGCGCUGGCCUCCCUCCAGCCGUGGAUCACAGGCACACAGCUGAACCUUCACCGGCUCAUCUGUGAGGUCAGGGCUGUGGUACUCACUUCACCAGGUGGCUAUGACAGCGGUAUGCGAUGUAUGUAAACGUACUUUUCACAGUCCGAUGUCUUAAAUGUGUUCUGUGAGUUUGAGACUCUGUAGGGCCACAUGUCAUUUUUACCCGAUUUAGGAAGCUGUUCUAAGAUGCAGUUGUUAGCACUGCUGAGCCUCUUUAGCCAAAGUGCAUCUAAUGUUAUGCCCUCAUCCUGUGGGGCAGAAAUUGGCACAUUUCUCUGUUCAGAGCACCCUUAGGGGGUUUUCACAAAACUCCUGGAGAAUCCUCACUUGUGGAAUAUUCUACUGAAACUUAUUUUUCAGCAUGGGACAGCAGAGAUUAUCUGUUAGAGCUUAACUGUGGACUUUUCCUUAGGGAUCUGUGACACGGAAAUGGUUAUAUGGCACUUUUUCCGGUGGUUUCAUAUCAGGGUUUGGUUUGUUUUUAUAUCGUGCAUGUUUUAUUGUCCAGUUAUUAUAAUAUCAAGAUGGAAGAUUUUGCAAAAGGGGAAAAAAAAUCACCUAAUUUCAGUAUUUUAACAGUGUAGUCAUUUUCAUUCUUCCAUCUUUUUAUGUUCGCGCCCGUAUAACAGGGUGUAUAUUUUGUAUGUAGUUUUGUUUCCAUUUGAAUUAUAAACAUCUUCAGUGUUGCUACAGUUUGGGUAAUUAUAACAGCAUGAUACAAAUGAAAGAUUAAAAACUAAGCACUUAA